RNAcentral lists this long non-coding RNA (665 nucleotides) under Ictidomys tridecemlineatus (thirteen-lined ground squirrel). Its description in RNAcentral is "lncRNA (ENSSTOG00000033754.1)". The record is from RNAcentral. Lineage: Eukaryota; Metazoa; Chordata; Mammalia; Rodentia; Sciuridae.
ACUAUAUGAAAAAUGAAAAUAUCAUUUUUGUUUUAUUUAGAUGAACUCCAGGACAUUGUUUCUGAAUCACAGGCAGUGGGAAAAAUAGAUAAACCUGUGCUGCCUGGUGUUUUAGACAACAUCUGUGAAAAUAAAAUGAACUCCAAAUGGGCAUGUUGGACACCUGUAACAACUAUUAAACUAUGUGAUAACCAAAGAGUCAAUACUUUUUCAGGAGAAACAUUCAAUCAAGAUAUUGAUAUCAACAAGCAAUAUACUAAACAAAAAUCAUCUUCUAUAUCUGAUGAUGAUUCUGAAGAAACAGAAAAUGCAAAAUAUACAAAAGAAAUAGUGGAUCCUAACAAAGUAUACAAAGCAGAAGAAUUGUGCAAAAGAAACAAUCAACAAAAUCAUCCACAGUAUUCAGAGCAGAAUACUGAAAAUACCAAGCAGAGUGACUGGCACAUUCAAUCUGAAACAACUUUUAAGUCAGUUCUUCUAAAUAAGACAAUUGAAGAAUCUCUGAUAUAUAGGAAGAAAUACAUAUUGUCAAAAGAUGUGAAUACUGCUAUUUGUGAUAAAAGCCCUUCUCCUAGAAAAAAUGUGAAAAGUCAGAGAAAAUCAGGGAAAGCAGUGACUUCGGAACUUAAUUCCUGGGAAUUGAAAGAAAAACAAAUGGUGAGCUU